AUCUAAUUUAAAAACUGUGUUGGAUAACCCUGCCUGUCAGACAAGUUAGCCGACAUGGCUUAAAUUAAAACAUAGGGAUAAAAUGCAAGUGCUGUCUAUUAAGAAGCGCUAUGAAUAACGAAAACCUGAUGUGAAAAACGUGUCUAAACUGACAUCGGACUCGGACUUCUUUUAAAAUGAGUUUUACUGUGUGUAUGCUUC
This 201-nucleotide long non-coding RNA is filed under the name Mytilus galloprovincialis (Mediterranean mussel). Lineage: Eukaryota; Metazoa; Mollusca; Bivalvia; Mytilida; Mytilidae. The record is from RNAcentral.